AGAUUAGAGCAGACGUUUCAGGUUGCUGCCAUCAGAGAGUAUUGACUUGACCUUAGUGUCUUUAGUGUGCUCCCACAUUGAGCUCUACUUUUUGGGUCCAUGCACCUACUUAUUUCUAAACAUCUAGAGCGCAACAAUACCCCUGCCUCCUGAUAUGCCAUAUAACCUGUAUCUCUCCGUGUGUGUGUGUGUGUGUGUGUGUGUGUGUGUGUGUGUGUGUGUGUGUGAGAGAGAGAAUGUGUGCACGCAGAUAUAAGAAGUUGGGGUUGAUGAUCCACAUGAUGGUGAUGGACCAGGACAGCUCUGGACCUCCUGACUGGCAGCUCCAUCCUCAACCUCUCUUCCUGCCCUUCACACGUGUGCAGGCAGCCAGUUUUCUGAAAGAUGGUUGAUGUCAGUACCAACAUGUUGUGAUGGAGGCUUCCACCUGAGCUGAACACAGAAACUUGCACACAGUGUUGGAAGCAGUCGUUCCUGCUCAGCAUCGAUAUGCCAGUAAUGGGUUUGAUGAGCCACAGCAUGGUGAUGGGCAAUCAGCAUCAGGACCAGGGCAGCUCACAAGGAGAACCUCCUGCCC
This is a long non-coding RNA of Engraulis encrasicolus (European anchovy), 577 nucleotides long. RefSeq lists it as uncharacterized. NCBI's taxonomy places the organism in Eukaryota, Metazoa, Chordata, Actinopteri, Clupeiformes, Engraulidae. The record is from RefSeq and is a predicted model, not a curated record. The transcript has 3 exons.